UUGCUAACCCACAACCUAGCUAACGUUAGUUACAUUACUUGUUGUGUUGUUGCUCGCUUUAUAUCAUGGUAUUUGUCAUGGUAUUGUAUUUCUCCAGAAUCGCAUACCCCACCUUUAAUGUACAACUCAACCCAGCUAAGUGCAAGACCUACCAACACAGGAAUGUGCCAGUCUUGCUUAAGCAAGAAAACUAUUUAUGGAUCCAACUCUCAGAUAAAUGAAUGCCUACAAACUCUGCCCUUUUUUGAGUAAUUUUCAGUCAGCAAGAACUUAUAUUAUGCUCAUGCUUGUCAGCUAAGUCACAGUUAUUUGUUAAAACCACAAACUAGCACCUACCUUUUAUACAGCUGUCCCCACUUCCUGUGUUAGUUAACCCACAGACACCCACCCCUCAGCAAUGAACAUUAGACCCUGUCAUAACAAACAGUGUUUAGAGUAGGAAGUGAUAGAGUAGAUGGUAUUUAAUGUGAUGCAUUUUUAUAUAGUGUCUUAGAUUAUUAAAAAAACGAUAAUAGAGUAUAGCACUACCUGUAUGAGACUCUGAUGUUCCUGUUUGAUCUUUGAAAACAAUAUGCAUUUAUUUUCAACUGAAAUUCCAAAUUUAGGGAAAUCUGGCACAAUUAUAUAGCUGUUAAAUUACAUGAGUGUCCCACUUCAACAAAGUUAUCCUAUUCUGACUCUCAGCAAAUACGACAAUGUCUUCACAGCUGAUAAAGCAUGUUAUUUGCACAUAGAAUAAGAAAUGUGUUUCAGUGUAAUUAAAGUAUUUGUGCAAGUAAUGCCGCCGUUAAGAAGUAGAAACAAAGCCAGGCACUUAAGCCAGGCACUCCUUCCUUUGAACUGACUGAAGCUGUCCACAGCAAAGACAUGAUAGUCACAGUAUGAUAAGAUAAGCUCUCUUUCCAUCCAGCAGCGUCAUUCCAUGCCAGUGCUUUGUUUAACAAUAGUUUUGUAUUCAAAUGUGAAUUGUUCUCUGCUAUGGCAAAGACUUAGAAUGGCUUAAACUUGUGUUUAUCCUUACCCAAACCUUGGCCUAAUUUGAAGCAUAUGCAGAAAACAAAUCUACGAUUGUUUUACCACUAAAGCUUCUUCUCUCCUUUCUAUUCAAUGUCAAAAUCAAAGAUUACAGAGAGCUUUGGAGGUGAUAUUGCCAUUCUUUGUUUAGACAAUGGCGCACUAAACCAAUAACUGUGUUUUGUGUGCUGACAGCGUGUACGUUCCUUCAUAAUUGCAGUUUUAGCAGCACUGUGACAGGGAGAUAUGUGUAUGGGGGAGGUUCAUCUUCUUCCAAUGGCCCUGCAAUCGAGCUUUAGCUGCUAAAACAUGGAUCAGCAAGUGUUUGCCAGACAUUUGCAAAAUGAUGUAGAAGGGUUUGUCUGUAUCUCUGCACCCUCAAAACCAAAACACUCACUCACACACACACACACACACACACGCACACAAAGAUAGCACUGCCAAGGACAUCCCUCCAAAUGAUGAGAGGAUGGUGCAGCUCCUUGUCCUUGGUACACUGUGGUCCAGCCUUGCACCCCCAAUCACCUUGUUGUUAAACCAGUUGAAAAUCUGCAAGUUGCCCAUUCGCUGACUCAAGAGUGCUGCAAUUCACAGUUAAUUUUGCUUAUGUUACAGGGCUCCGGCAUAAACGCAUGUUUCACCCGCUUCUUUAACUACAUGUGUAAAAUCUGCAGAAAAUAAGAGAAACAUAGAACCUCUCUUUUUUUGCAGAACAUUAGAUUUUUUUCCCAUCUCACUUUACAUAACAUACUGUAUAAUCUGAGAUGCACAUUUUAAUGUCCAAAUAGUCAGUCAGUAAUUCUUCAGUGGGCUUUUACUGAUGUAAUAAUGAAUAAAAUUUGUGAAUAUAACCGGUUUUUACUGUCACUUUGAGCAGGAUGCUGAAAGAGAAAUGGCUGCAAAAGAAAUGGAUGCCUUCUGCUUAAAGCUGAAAUGAAUCGCUCACAGUUAAGACUUGACCACACCAUACAAUUAACCCCUACCCCCAAGAAUAUGCUUUCAAAAUGAAUGGUUACAAAUAGGAAUAUCAAAAGGGAGGGUUUUGUCACUUCCCUUUGACUAUGAAUGUGAAUUAGAGCUAAAAGUCUGCCUGUGGUCCUCUGACCUUUGUGGCUCCUCUUCUGACUUGGUUCAGGUAAGUGCAGGUUGUGUGAUGCAGUGGUAUCAAUAAUGGAAGAAAGGCAACCCCCUCCCUUUGGCUGCUAUGUGGGUCAGAGGAGGCUCUCUGUGGAUGGGAGAGAUUGAUGAAGAGCACCAGGGAGAGCAUUGGAGCGCCUACCUCACAGCGGUGCAACCCAAGCCGCUCCCCACUGCACUUGUUCCAAGGCCCCCCUCCUGAGCUGCACCGCCUGGCGCUCUUUAAAUGACCUUCAAAUUAGCCUUAUUUUUCAGGGCUCCCGACCCUUCAGGGUCCUUCCUGGAAGGAUGGUAGGUCUUGUUCGCACCCUCUUUCUCUGCUUUUUCUUUUGUUAUCUUCCUGUUGUCCACUGAUGGAGUAGAAAACAACAGAGGAGUAGAGCUUGUGUAGCAAAGGUGACUGAUUUUCACUCCUGUUGUCUCUGUUGUAAUCAGACAAGGGAGCUGUUAUGUGUUCCUGAUUAUGCAGUUGACACACACACACACACACACACACACACACACCUUUACCCUUUCAUUACACUUACUCUUCCAAACAAAUUUGAAAUUGUCACACAUCAUCAUUGCAGCAUCUGCAGACAAUGAUACAUGUGGUGUUUUGAGAAGUUUGUGUGUGAGUCAUGGUGGAAUCCUUCUUCCACUGCAUCACAGAAAAUACUCUGUCAAGCCAGCCAUCCAUCACUAUAGCUGGGGUUUAUGUACACACAGCAGGUCAUGCUGGUCCUCUGUCCAGAGCUGAUGCAGAGCUCUUGAUUAUCCAUUUGCAUUAAGAGAAACACCCCUCUCUAAUGGAACUAAAUGACUCAGACUGCUGCAAUUUGUACGGUUAUGCUUUGCUUUUAAUGGAAUGGGUAUCUGCAAAGCUUUGAAUUAUGAACUUUUUCAGCAAUUUUCAGGAUGAUUUGUUCACAAUUUAUGUUUAUUAUGUUAAGACAAAUUGACUAAUCUCAUCUCUCUACACCUGUGACAAAUUGUAGAGGGAGGAGAAGCUCCUCGCUAACUCACCCCACCAAUCAACAACAAUCUACAGCAAAUGAUUGAAACAAACACUUAAUCACUUAUGCUAUGAAACUGUUAAUUGAUGCUUAGCUGAUAUUUUAAAUGCACCUCGUAGCUGUGUGCACAGUGUAGCACAGUAGCCUUAAAGGUGACCUUAUACAGUGCAGGCAUAUGUUGCACCCUUUUGGGAAAAGCUUUGACUUUUGUAUAAGUGGCAAUUUGUCAUGGAAAGCUUUUUAACAUCCUCUCCUUUAAAAAAAAAAAACUGACCUUAUGCAGAGAAGUGCAUGGAAACUUUCAACUCGCCAAGUGAAGAUAAUUUAGUGACUGCACAACAAUUAUGCCGUCAUCAGAAACCUCUCUGGAGGUAUUAAAAAAGAACAGAUAUUCCUUUUCAUGAUAAAUACUAUUGAUAAAGGUAAAUAGCCAGAAAAGAUCAAAACUCAAAGCAUUCUCUUUUCUCUCCAGGUUCCCCCUGCUUGCUUUUGACACUUUUCCAAACAUUUGGAGCUAAUUCUCCAGCUAUGGUGAUGGAAAAUCGACAGACGGGAUUGUAACUCAGAGGCAGCGAGUGAGUUAGAGAGCAAACAUCAAGGGGAAUCAAAUUGGAAAACAUAAUAAGUCAUCGUGUUAGCUGUGGAGCGAAAGAGAUGGUGUGAAAAAAGGCAAGAGGACAACCAGAGGUGGGGCAUGACUGAUGGCUGGGUAGAAUGGGGGCUUGUUGCUCCAGAAGGGCAAAUCUGACCUGAUUGAUUGGCUAGUAUUUCAGAGAGGGCCCUAUGCCCAUUUGCUUAUGAUGCUGGAAUUCUUUGGUAGCAUUUUGUAGAAGGAGUAAGACAAAUGAUGAAAAGCACCCAAUGUUAGGAAAAAUUAGGAAUUAGAGUAAAUUUGGAAAAAGGGAGAAUCAGGCCAUGGGGGAUCAUGAAGGUAUUUGUAUUAUUUAAGCUGAAUGAAAGCUUCUGAAUGCUGCCUUAUAUUAUGUUAUUCUUUCAUUUCACAGGAAAAAGGUGCAGAUGUUUCAUGGGUAUCAAGGACAAGUGCAUUAAUGAGCACCUGGAGAGGAACAGCUUGUGUCUCCUGGUUAGUGUGACCGCGAGCAGGGCGCAGACUCCUUCACUGACUCAGAUGACGUGACUGAUGGAGGGGGAGGUUUCUGUCAGAUCUGGGGCACUCCCAGGAGCUGCAGUUUGUCUCGGCUGACAACAACGCUCACCAAAGGGGCCCCCAUCCCACAUAUCAGCUGGAAAGGUGAGAGAAGAUGUUGUCCUUCCCUCUGUACUUGGAGUCCUACAGCUCCUCCUUUCCAAAAUUCUUAUAUUUUCUUUCUUUCUUCUUUUUAAAUGUGUGUCUUCUCUCAAUAACCUUUUAUUCCCUGAAAGUACUGUAUGAUGUGCAGCUACAGCAAGUAGCAGCUGCAAAAUGUUCAAACAUAAAUGUAUAUAACGUGCUAUGUUUUUAUGACAUGGGAUGUUUUAUGAACUAAAAAUGAUCUAAUCAACACACUUUUAAAUCUAGACUUUAAAAUAUAGAGCUUUUAUCAAAAUCUUAGCUCACAUGACACAAUUUUGUAUCUGCACAACAGAUGGAUGAUAUCCAUAAACUAUUCACACAAAGAGAUUAGAAGUUUAUUCUGUAUUCUAAAUCAUCAACAUUUAUAAUAUAAUUUUUGUGAUUCUCCAGCAGUAAAAGUCAAACCAUAAUAUCAUGAUAUGUUUGGUUAAAUAAGGAUGAAAUAAAUAUAUCCCCCAAAUGUCUUACUGAUAUUUUGUGAAUGGCAAAAGAACAAAGAGAUAGAGUCAUAUCCUCAGUUACAUAUGGAUUGAACAGGAUGCAUAUGGAACCAGAGACCUAAGAAAACAGCUGGAUUUUGGAGUUUGGCAUUGCUUGAAAGUGUGCUGAGAUACUGAGUCCAGUCCUUAAUGGAAAAAAAGCACAUACAGUCAUCCUUGCCACUUAACAGUCAUAACACUGCCUUGGUGCUGUGACAUUGAUAACAACUUCUCUUAUUAGAUUUGCUCUGUGGUCUUACGUUGCACUACUAAUAGAAUUACAUUUGCAUUGCUAAUAGCAUUAUAUUCACUCAAGUAUCUCACAUCCUCAUCAAUGCACAAAACAACAAUGUCCUGUCUUGUUCCCUGCAGUAGCUCUGACAUAAAAAACAAAAAUGUACAAGCAUGCAGAUCAAUAUGUAUACACUGAAACAGAUGGCUUUAGCCUGGAUUUGUUAUAGUGCAUGUUGAGAAAUGAACAAACUACUCAUUUGGAGGCCUCACUUGUGAUACAAUUAUCUCUCAUUCAACCAAGAUUUUGAUGCAGCUUGAAGGUUCCUUAAUGCCCUGGAAACAGCAGUUAACAAAAAAGCUGUUCUGCAGCUUUUGGUCAAAUCACAUGAUCUUCAUCAGCAGUUUUUUUACCAGUUCUCAAUAGAUGAUCAAGUUUCCAUUUUUUUCCUAGCACUUCUUGUUAAUGUUGGCUUAAAAGUGCUCAGAACAAAUCUAAAAUUGAGUAUCUACAAUUCCAUGACAACUGGGUAAACUUCAUCUGCUGAUGAAGAUCAUGUGAUAUGAUCGACAGGCCCAGAACAACUACUAAGUGGACCUUGUCCUUGCAGUGAGAGUAUUUUGUCAACAAGACAUGCUCUAAUUAGUGUUCUGUAAUGGGAGGUGGCAUAAAAAUAAUGACAGUCAUGACAAAUACUUUACUGUACUCACACUGAAGUUUUACAAGUUCUAGUCAGUGAUGGGUUUUCCAGGUUCCAGGCUGCUGGUUUUAUAGGUACAAUGGCCCUCUACAACAGUUUGAAACACAUGAUACUCAUUACAGUAGAGCAUCUCCUCAACUGUUAGGGAAAAAUGAAGCUUGGAAAAUUGGAGCAGCAUUGCAUGCAGUCCUUCUUUUCUCUGUGACUUCUUAUUGCCUGCUUUUAUUCAGCGCACUUGACUUUGGUGAACUAAACACUGAAACAGGAAGAAAGGGCUCAAGGUGUUGAGAUUGUGCUCUAUUUCAACUUGAGACAGGCCUUUGAAGUAUGUUCUCCAUCCAGUCAGACUUACUUAGCAGGCUGGAUCUACUUUGACUGCACUGUGUUGGUAGUAUGGUGUUGGAAUGGAAAUUUGCAGAACUGAAUCUCCAAGCAGUAUUCUGAAUGCUAAGAAUGUCCACAGACUUGAUAAGGUUAUUGAUACAGUACUUCCUCCUAGCAGUUUCUCCACUGAAAAUCCCCAGCCAAGCCCAUGGGGACAUUUGUUCUUGUGUUACAGCUGCCCAUGUUUACCAUCCUCCACCUCGGGCUCUUUCCACUGAGAGAAAGAUGUUUGCUAGGGUGCAACUCUGCAAAUCCCACCUGGAUGUGGCAUUUGUAAUAAACAACCUAGGGGCAUGGCUGCCACCCUUUCUCUUUUCACUCCCAGCGCUCCUCCUCAAGCCCCUUCAACACUGUUCAUAAGCUCCCCAAACAACCUCUAAUUUGUGUCUUGAUUAGUGCCAUGUAAAUUGUGCUGUUGUUUCCUAUGUAACUCCAUGGGUAACAUGUGACAUGGCUGUUUCACCGCUUGCUCUCUUUUUCUCUCUCUUUCACACACUCUCACUCUUCAUCACUGUGAUAGCACACAAGGGGGAAGAUAUAGUUAUUCAGGGAAUUAUCUGCCUCAUUGGUGCCAUAUCUCAUCCCAUGCUUUUCUGCCAAAUGGCUGUGUUUCCAUGGAGCCUGCGUAUGUUUACUGUGACGUGCCAUGGCAGAGCCCUUUCUGGUACACAGGGACUUAGCACACAGCAGUGGAGGGUAUUUCAGUCCCCGUUUGGAGUUUUGGGGCUUACUUCUCCAGCUCUCCUCUCUCCUCCCACCUGCUCUCCUUGCUGUUCCUUCACUGGAUGCCUGUGUGGCUGUGUGCUGGUGCUCCUGGCCCUGUUCUUAGACAGACAAGGCUAAUUGAAAGGGAAGGCUGCUCUCUGCUGAUCAGCUCUGACAGCAGUGUCUUGCCAGAGGUGGGUGUGCCACCCCAUGCUGAGAGUUUUCACAGCAAAAUAACAGUGCUGUCGUGAAAAACACAGACCAUGCCACAAUUACCCGGGCAGCUUGCCAAAAGAGCCAGAUGAAUUUUGCGGACAGAAGAAAGAGGGGAAACCCACUUUGUCUGCUUUACGACUUUAGGGAGGAGAGCUGUGCCAGCAUUUAGUGAAAAUCUAACAGGCAUUCUCGCAUUUCAUUCAGGGUUAGAAUGAAAUGAAACCACAUUUUUUUUUUUUAAGAAUGCAACAAUUAAUAAUCAUGUUUAAUCACAGAUGUACAAUCUGUCGUUUUGUGUUGCUUUCCAAUGUUACAGAAUAAAAGGAAUUGUUCACCCGAUAUUUAAUAUGUAGUAGUUAACAACUUGUCCCCUUGUCAUCAAAACUCUCCUGAAGUUCUAACAAAAAAUAAACACAGAGGAAGUUUCAUCUGAGCUUUCUCCUAAACUAUUAAGGAUAACAAGGUUAACAAAGAAUUUUGGAUGGGUCGAAAGUCCUAUUUGUACCUUUAUAAUUUCCUAUAUUUUUAUGUAUAUUUAAUGACAAGGUGCAUGAUUUUUGGAAAUGUUUUAUGGAGCUGUAAAAAGAUGAAGGUUGAUGGAAGAACUGUGAUUUAAUGUCCACAGAAACUGAAAAUGAUGUAUCAUAAGUGAAUUGUCAUUUUCAGUUGAACUAUUCCUUUAAAGGUGCAACAUGUAAGAAGUAGCCACCUGUCGAAUUCAUGCUCCAAACAAAUAGGGGGUAGCAUAACUGCUAACUGUUGCUAACUGUAGCUGCCAUUAGCUAGUUAGCUUAGUUAGCUCAGUUAGCCGUGCAGCUAGCGGUUAUAUUGCUCACUGACUGCCUGGACUGGGAGUUUGGGGCACUGGGGUGUGUUGGUGUUUACACCACUAGCAAAGGAGCUUUGGACCACCGGGAGGAGGAGGUUUUCAGGCUCAGGACUGGGGGGGACCCAGUGGGGAAUGCUGGUGGGGAGCAGCACUGGAAUAGACACCAGAACCGGAGCUGGAGCGGGUAAGGGAACCGAGCUUUGCAGCCUCCAGGUGAACACAGCCAGAUUGGGACCGAAUAGAGCAUCCAACGGAGGCCAGUUUAACGACAGGGAAUAUAGUAUUGAGACUGAAGGCAGACUGGACACUACAGUGACUCACUGUCACAUCUUGAGGUGCAAAGUGGUAUUAUGAGACAGUACGGGCCGAGGCCAGCUGGUUAGCAUGCUAACUUCAGUAGAUAUCUCAGCAACACGAUACAUAGAUGUCUUUGACAUAAUUCUUCACAUUCUGUUCAUAAUUUUAGUUAAUUUUUUAAUGUUUUAAACCUAAAUUCUUAUAUAUAGCUCCUUUAAGUAAGAGUUCAGUCCCUUCAUCCAGCAGAUCAUUUUCAUUUGCUUCAGGUUCUUGGAUAAACUGCACCUCUUUUAAACUUUAGUGUUGUGUCUUAGCCCGCUGCAGGUCCUUCCUACUGCCCAUAUCAGAGGUGCCAUGAUCCAGAGUGACUUGAUGCACCAGGACAGGCUGGGACCCCUCAGCAGGCCCACAGUGGACAGCUGUGAUUACUGCUGACAAUAAUUUAUGGUCCCCUCUGAUUGAAAACACGAGAGCUGGAGAUAGAAAGGCUGGUGUGGAGUCAAGGCACCACCUUAAGAUAUAAAACUGAGGCCGCAGCUGCUGUCAGAAGCAGGACUCCUGCCAAGCUCUGCAGGCCUUCUGCCCAUCCAGACAAACACAAGCUCUCAUUUUGCUCUCUUUUCUCUUCCUUUAUAUUUUCCUUCCUCCUUUCCUUUGCCUGGUUAUAGUCCUCCUCUACAUUGUCUCUCUCAUAAUUUCUAUCUUGCUAAAACUUCUCUUAUAUUUUGGUCUUUAUUUUCAACUUCAUGCAACAUCAACCUAAAUGUCCAUCAUAAUAUGGAGGUAUGCUGUUUGUAAUAUGUGUCUGAAAUGAAAAGGAACAAAUUCUUAUCCACCGUAGCUGAUCAGGUGUCUCUACAGUGAGCUUUUCCAGCCCUGAGAUUACCAUGCUAAUCCUAACAAUAGCAAUAUGCAGCUGGUUUGAACAACUAUCUGCACCAUUGUUUAUGUUGUCAUCCCUGCUGGAUUGCACUCAUGAGGAGUAACCAUUUUAGUGGAUUUGCAUUUACUAUUUCUAUGCCAUAUCCAGGGAUGAAGAGCUCUUCCUCUAAAAUGAUGUAUGUUCUGGGUAUUAUGUUCUAUUUCUAAAAGAGGCCUUGAACUAAAGAGAAGGGGUAGCAAAAGCUCUUGUGGAUAUGAAACUGAAAUUAAACAGAAAUUUAUAUUAGAUUGAAUUGAAAAUGAUUUAAAUGGAACCAAAUGGGAUGAAAUCUCAAAUACACUUGAGUAAAAAGAUUUGAAACAUGUUAUCUCAAAUUCUCUCUUUGAUUUCCCCUGUGAUUUUUGGUUAUGCUAAUAAAGUAUAUAUAUAUAUAUGAUAGAAAAUAGACUGUAUGUUAAAUACAUGUUGAUAUGUAUUAACAUAAACAUUACUGUUGACUUUUUUACAACUUCUUGUAAUGGCGCCAUUUUUCUAAGUAGUUUUAGAGUUUUACAAAUGUGUUCUUGUAAAGGCUUAUUCAGCUUAUCACACUGAGUUUCCACACUGAGUCUGUUGGCUACCUGUAAAAAUAGCAUCUCAGUCUAAGGACGGAAUUUGUUUUCUCUCAGAGCACAAUGGUGUGCAGCAGCCUCAGAGUUAUGUCAACAGGAGAGGGAAUGGAAUCCCCCCAAAAUUCAAGGCGCACUACGUUGUCAUCGCUCAAAAAAAGUGUCUUUAUUCCCUUGACUACAUGAUUAAAAACAAAUGUCAAA
Siniperca chuatsi (mandarin fish) is the source of this 9977-nucleotide long non-coding RNA. RefSeq lists it as uncharacterized. The record is from RefSeq and is a predicted model, not a curated record. The transcript is spliced from 2 exons. NCBI's taxonomy places the organism in Eukaryota, Metazoa, Chordata, Actinopteri, Centrarchiformes, Sinipercidae.